Molecule: ribosomal RNA, 615 nt
Filed under: uncultured Lachnospiraceae bacterium
Lineage: Bacteria; Bacillati; Bacillota; Clostridia; Lachnospirales; Lachnospiraceae
Description: bacterial SSU rRNA
Rfam family: Bacterial small subunit ribosomal RNA
Source: RNAcentral
UGAAGUUUUCGGAUGGAUUCUUAUUUACCGAGUGGCGGACGGGUGAGUAACGCGUGGGUAACCUGCCUCAUACAGGGGGAUAACGGUUAGAAAUGACUGCUAAUACCGCAUAAGCGCACAGUACCGCAUGGUACGGUGUGAAAAACUCCGGUGGUAUGAGAUGGACCCGCGUCUGAUUAGCUAGUUGGUGGGGUAACGGCCCACCAAGGCGACGAUCAGUAGCCGACCUGAGAGGGUGACCGGCCACAUUGGGACUGAGACACGGCCCAGACUCCUACGGGAGGCAGCAGUGGGGGAUAUUGCACAAUGGAGGAAACUCUGAUGCAGCGACGCCGCGUGAGUGAAGAAGUAUUUCGGUAUGUAAAGCUCUAUCAGCAGGGAAGAAAAUGACGGUACCUGACUAAGAAGCCCCGGCUAACUACGUGCCAGCAGCCGCGGUAAUACGUAGGGGGCAAGCGUUAUCCGGAUUUACUGGGUGUAAAGCGUGCGCAGGCGGUUGGGUAAGACAGAUGUGAAAUCCCCGGGCUUAACCUGGGAACUGCAUUUGUGACUGUCCGACUGGAGUACGUCAGAGGGGGGUGGAAUUCCGCGUGUAGCAGUGAAAUGCAUAGAUAU